AGACGGUUCAUUUGCAGACUCCCAGGCCACCAGCUUCAGUUUCCGGAAAAUGCAGAUGGGGACGGCAGAUGAAAUGAAGCCAUCAGCAGCCCACAGGACAGUCUCAAGAGGAGUGACUGUCCCUGUCCGCUGCAGUUGCUGCUGGGGAGCAAUUUGCCCUUGAAGCCAAUCUACCAUCCCUAAACUGACAAUUUCAUUUCCCUCCCAGCCUACCCCCUGCCCCGAAGAUCUGCUGAAGCCACGACUUCCGUCUGAAGAGCCGGCAGGAUAAUAGGUGCCAGACUUCAAGCUUGGGACUGGAAUCAUCUGAAGACUUGUUUGAUCAAGACUUGGAUAUGUAGUGGGCAACUGAUGCUGGCUGACCUCAAGUGGAGCUGGACCCGAUGCCACAGUAGGGCAGGGUCUUAGAACCCUGAUCUGGUCUCCAAAUUUCAUAGGGGAGAAAACGGAGGCUAAGAGCAGAAAAGAAACUCCUUGGGCAUUCUCGGUAUAUAUCAACAGGUCCAAAAUAAAUUUAUGGAAAAUGCA
This is a long non-coding RNA of Suricata suricatta (meerkat), 528 nucleotides long. RefSeq lists it as uncharacterized. The transcript has 3 exons. NCBI's taxonomy places the organism in Eukaryota, Metazoa, Chordata, Mammalia, Carnivora, Herpestidae. The record is from RefSeq and is a predicted model, not a curated record.